AUGUCUAUUCUCAAGGAUGAUCUGAUGCUCCUCUUCCAGGAUUUCUAUGACCAAGUGUCAGAGCUAGACGGAGUAAACUCAGCGAAUAUAGUUUUGAUACCCAAGAAAGACAGCCCUGUGGAUCUCCGGGAUUUUAGGCCCAUUUCCUUGGUGCACACCUUACCAAAGUUGGUCUCCAAAGUUCUUGCUUCCCGCCUACAGAGAGUGAUACCGGAGUUAGUGCAUCAACUACAAUCUGGUUUCUUGCCGGGAAGGUGUAUAGCAGAAAACUUUGCACUCGCGGCUGAACUCGUACAGCAGGCAAAGAUACGGCGUAAGCCGAUGGUGGCUCUAAAGUUGGACUUCCGCAAAGUUUUCGAUAGUGUCAGUUGGGAAGCACUUACAAAAAUUCUCUUCGUCAGGGGCUUUGGAGAUCGCUGGAUUCGUUGGAUUUCGGCUAUGCUGAAGUCAAGUACUGCCAAAAUCUUGAUAAAUGGUUCACUGGGACGCACCAUCAAGUCUAAGUGGCCUAAGAUAGGGUGA
Molecule: ribosomal RNA, 522 nt
Filed under: Triticum aestivum (bread wheat)
Lineage: Eukaryota; Viridiplantae; Streptophyta; Magnoliopsida; Poales; Poaceae
Description: partial small subunit ribosomal RNA
Source: RNAcentral